UAAUACGUAGGGAGCAAGCGUUGUCCGGAAUCAUUGGGCGUAAAGCGCGCGUAGGCGGCCCGGUAAGUCCGCUCUGAAAGUCCAGGGCUCAACCCUGGAAUGCGGGUGGAUACUGCCGGGCUAGAGUCCGGAAGAGGCGAGUGGAAUUCCUGGUGUAGCGGUGGAAUGCGCAGAUAUCAGGAGGAACACCAAUAGCGAAGGCAGCUCGCUGGGACGGUACUGACGCUAAGGCGCGAAAGCGUGGGGAGCGAACAGGAUUAGAUACCCUGGUAGUCCACGCCGUAAACGAUGGGCAUUAGGUGUGGGAGGUGUCGACUCCUCCCGUGCCGACGCUAACGCAUUAAAUGCCCCGCCUGGGGAGUACGGCCGCAAGGCUA
RNAcentral lists this ribosomal RNA (377 nucleotides) under uncultured bacterium. Its description in RNAcentral is "bacterial SSU rRNA". It matches the Rfam family "Bacterial small subunit ribosomal RNA", at positions 521 to 896 of the family's 1533-position model. The record is from RNAcentral.